Molecule: non-coding RNA, 29 nt
Filed under: Mus musculus (house mouse)
Lineage: Eukaryota; Metazoa; Chordata; Mammalia; Rodentia; Muridae
Source: RNAcentral
UAGAGUUGAUCUUAUAAAAGACUUGCUAA